Nelumbo nucifera (sacred lotus) is the source of this 538-nucleotide long non-coding RNA. RefSeq lists it as uncharacterized. The record is from RefSeq and is a predicted model, not a curated record. Lineage: Eukaryota; Viridiplantae; Streptophyta; Magnoliopsida; Proteales; Nelumbonaceae.
AUCCAAAGAGUGUCACCCCUGGCAAAAGGCUAAGUCUCAAAAACCAGAAUUCUCCGAAUCCUAGUGUGUCUCCCUCUCAAUCACAAGGUUUCUACUGCUAGUGGAAUAUCAUUUGAGGAUGGAAUAGAAAGCAUCGACAUCGGUGGCCCUGGCAUGAUCAGAGCCACUGCAAAGUUUGUUUUCUGAGACACAAUAAUGACAUUAUAUUGGAGAGAAUCACAAGGAUAUUUUGGUGGUUGUUGACUCAAGUGACUAUCCUGCACUUUUGGAAUUCUGAAAGGAAACCAAGAUGACCAGCAAUUCCGCGGGAAACUUGCUUGGAAGGCUUUCCAGCAUGUUGCUUCUUAUGAUUCUGCAGUUUCUGAGUGGCUGUAGAAGCAGACAAUUGGAGGCAAAACUUGGAUUCUUUCUUGCCUUCUGCUUUUUCUCAAUUUUUCCUGUCCAAUUAUACCUCAAACUCUUCUUUUUUUCUUUCCCUUUUCUUUGUGGACUAAGUAUGCUAAUUGUUUUACUGAUCAAAAAAGUUCAGGUAAUUAUU